This 856-nucleotide long non-coding RNA is filed under the name Ananas comosus (pineapple). RNAcentral's name for it is "long non-coding RNA (ACOM_LNC027851)". The record is from RNAcentral. Lineage: Eukaryota; Viridiplantae; Streptophyta; Magnoliopsida; Poales; Bromeliaceae.
GUAAUGUCGGAGACGCGAGAGGUCGACGACAUUACGGAAGCGGGGAAUACCGGGAGGCUUCCUCCCUAGGAUCGCUUGCGCUACCUUAUGCCGGCUUGGAUCUCUGUAGUGGAGCGUACGAGCGGAUGAGGGAUAGUCUAGCGACGGACGGUCCUCUGUAAAGGACAAGGCUCGCGAAGGCAAGUGUGCCGAGCGGGGAUUCGUGGGGCGCGGCGCCCACAAAGGCCAAAGAGGCGGGACUCAAUAGGAACGGUAAAAGGAGGCACGCCGAGGGAGAAUUCGUAAGGUGGGUGGCCUACGAGACUCGAGGGGCGGAACCCAAUGAGGCAAGCGGUAUCGGUAUCCGUAUAGUGAACCUUGAUGGACUGGACCAAUGGUGUGAGCGGCCAGGCGUGGCCGAGCCAAAGACGUGGCCAGUGGCUAGCGAUGCGGGGCGAGGCCGGUUCGUUUGUAUAGGGCCUUAUGAGGCGAACCUACGGGAGUCAAGGGCGCGGAGCGCCGUGGCAAAGCGAGGGUCGUCGAGACGGUCGAGAAGAACGGUGUGGACUUGUUGGUUCCCUUGUCAUGAGCGAUAGGACACGAGGGCCGCACGGGUCGAAUGCGAAGCACGGAGGUGCGAAGCAUGGACGUGCUGGGUGUCACACUGAGGUGCUGAUGUUGGGGACAAGUGUUAAGGAUUUUAUAGGUUGGCGUAUUUCGUAAAGUUGAAUGGAGUCUUGAAGAGUUGAUUGCAGAAGUUUUGAAGAAAAGAUUCAAAUAGAAGAACAAAGACUUAUUCGGAAAGCUCGGCGCUUCAGGUAUGGAGAAAAGAUCAUUUAUGGUGAAGGUACUUAAUUGGAAUAAGUUCAGAAGGUUU